Long non-coding RNA from Manis pentadactyla (Chinese pangolin), 2003 nucleotides. RefSeq lists it as uncharacterized. NCBI's taxonomy places the organism in Eukaryota, Metazoa, Chordata, Mammalia, Pholidota, Manidae. The transcript has 2 exons. The record is from RefSeq and is a predicted model, not a curated record.
AAAAAAGCAGCAUUUAUUGUUGCUUUUUAUUACUGUUACUACCAUUAUUAUUAAUAACAGAGUACUUUUCUGAAAAGGGGGCCAGACCCCAAAAUCGUUUAUCUUCCUCAUAGCCAAAGCCUUAAAGAAAAGUCUAGUAUGAACAAAUGAUUUUUAACAAAAGUAAAACUGAAAUAUUUUUCUCCCCUCCAAAUGUUUUGAAAGUGAAAAGAGAGUAAUAUUUAAAAAGCGUUUUAUUUGUUAAUGUCACAUAAGAAAUUUAAGAAAGUUACAUUAUCUUAAAAAACACAAUUAACGCAUUUUAAGAGUAACCCUCCCCCACCCCGCUUCCCCUCAUGAGCUAAGAAUCUAGAAGUAACCACAAACAGUUUUGUGGAAUCCUUCAUCCAGAGCGCUGACAUGGUGAUUAGGUUAAUGCCCCCUUACAAAACUUCUCUAUUAAAAAAAAAAUUUGUAGACUUGUUUAUUACAAAAACUUCAGUACAAAAGUUCUAUAUUGAAAAAUGCUUUCCCCUCCCUCACAGCACCAUUGUACAUAGAGAAAAAUCAAGAGCAGACUGCUGUCUAGAUGGAGCAAUCUUCAAAUUAUAUCCAGACACACAGUGACUUCUCCCCUGGAAUGUCUAUUUACGUGUCACUUGGAAGCUGAGUAAUGCUAAUACACAGCUGAAGGUGAAAACUGCUGUUCAAUGACCUGCACACUUAGGAAACGAGACCAACCACACCAGGUAACAUGCCGGCUGAUUCCUCUGCUGCACUUCCCGAAGCAUCAGCACCAGGUUCACCAACUGGUCCAGAUGCCUCUCCUGUUAUCCAUUUUUUUAUUACUCACUAAUUCCUUAAAACUUCACAGUAUGACUUGCAACUCGUCACUUGACUAGACUGAAACUGGCUUCUUGAAGGUCACCAAAAACACUUAUCAACUUGAAAGACCUCUAAUGUGAAGUCAAACAGCUAAUAUACCCUCUUUCUUUUUCCUCUUGAACUUGGUAUCAUUUUCUCAUCACAAAAGCUAAAAACCUCACCCACCUUAAUGUGUUUCCUUUCUCCCAUCCUCAAGUUCACCAGCACUCUGCCCUGAGGAAUCCCCAUUUCUGUAGUCCUUCAGUGUCUGCAAACUCCCUUCUGGAGUCCAUUCCUCUGACACUGUCUGGGUUUCUGUCUGGGUUUCCUCUCUGCUCCCACGUGUGCAGAGGCUACCUGCCUCAGCAUUCGGAUUACGGCCAUUUAGCACGAGCCUUCCUACUUUAUCUCUCACUUGCACCCUACAAUACAACUGGAUGGAUGGACAGACAACUUGGUGCUUAAGUCCUGACAUAUCCCUGUGAUGAAUUAAAGACCAUCACAAAUUCACCACUCCUCACCUCCAAGAAGCAGAGACUAUUUACCCUCCCCAUGGAGCCAGAGCUGGCCGUCUGACUGUGACUUAGAGAAUACGGUCCUAGCUUUUAAGAGAUCUGGGGCUCUCCAUUUUCACCCUCGUGGAAGCCACUGCCGGGUGUAAGAAGUUUGGCUUACACUACCAAACCAGAGGCCACACAGAGAGACGCAUGGACAUCCCAGCCCCGGCCAAGCUCCCAGCUGAGCACAGCUGCACAGCCGACUUCACUCCCCGUCACAUGGGCCAGAAGAACCACCAGCUGAGCCCAGUCACACCACAGAAUCAUGGGAAGUAAGAAACCAAUGUUGUAAGCCACUAGGUCUUGGGCUGGUCUGUUACUAUAACAACGGACAUUCCAAACACCACCUGCCACCUAGUACCCAAGUGACUACCCAUCCUUCCUAACACUGGGCAAGCAGAUUUCCCAGAAAUCUUCUCAACUAUUCCAGGGUCUGGACAACCAACCCUGCGUCUGUCUAACCGGCUGCAACCUGGUGCUCUGAUGAGCUCGCCAGAACCUUGAGGUACCUCUUACACUGUUGGUUUCCUUCCAAUCAUUGUAAAGCUUCCUGUGAAGGCCAGGAUCUUGUGCUUAUUUCUUGUUAAAGACAAGUCUGAAGUA